RNAcentral lists this ribosomal RNA (239 nucleotides) under Paenibacillus woosongensis. Its description in RNAcentral is "partial 23S ribosomal RNA". It matches the Rfam family "Bacterial large subunit ribosomal RNA", at positions 202 to 435 of the family's 2925-position model. The record is from RNAcentral. Lineage: Bacteria; Bacillati; Bacillota; Bacilli; Caryophanales; Paenibacillaceae.
CUAAGUACCCUGAGGAAGAGAAAACAAAAGUGAUUCCGUCAGUAGCGGCGAGCGAACGCGGAUUAGCCUAAACCAGAGAGCUUGCUCUCUGGGGUUGUGGGACGUCUCACACGGAGUUACAAAGGAAGAGGUUAGACGAACAGGUCUGGAAAGGCCGGCCAUAGAAGGUAAAAGCCCUGUAAUCGAAAGUCUGUUCCCUCCGAGACGGAUCCCGAGUAGUGCGGGGCACGUGAAACCCC